GUGAAUCAUCAAAUUUUUGAACGCAAAUUGCACUCUUUUCGGAGAGUAUGCCUGUUUGAGGGUCAGUAUUAAUAAAAAUAGGUGUGGUUGCUGCCUUUCGUGGUGACGCUCCGGAUUUGGGUUGUCUCGCGUUCGGUUACGUGUCCUACAACUUUGCAUGAUUAUUUCGAAUGUAUUUAAAUGAUUUUACGUACGCUUGCGAAAUCGAAUAAUAGGUGCGGUCAUCCUCAUG
Molecule: unclassified non-coding RNA, 232 nt
Filed under: Glomeraceae sp.
Lineage: Eukaryota; Fungi; Glomeromycota; Glomeromycetes; Glomerales; Glomeraceae
Description: partial contains 5.8S ribosomal RNA and internal transcribed spacer 2
Rfam family: 5.8S ribosomal RNA (bases 1-65)
Source: RNAcentral